RNAcentral lists this ribosomal RNA (465 nucleotides) under uncultured bacterium. RNAcentral's name for it is "partial 16S ribosomal RNA". It matches the Rfam family "Bacterial small subunit ribosomal RNA", at positions 28 to 507 of the family's 1533-position model. The record is from RNAcentral.
GACGAACGCUGGCGGCGUGCUUAACACAUGCAAGUCGAACGGAAAGGCCCCUUCGGGGGUACUCGAGUGGCGAACGGGUGAGUAACACGUGAGUAACCUGCCCUUGACUUCGGGAUAACUUCAGGAAACUGGGGCUAAUACCGGAUAGGAAUCCUUGCUGCAUGGUGGGGGUUGGAAAGCUUUGGCGGUUUUGGAUGGACUCGCGGCUUAUCAGCUUGUUGGUGGGGUAGUGGCUUACCAAGGCCUUGACGGGUAGCCGGCCUGAGAGGGCGACCGGCCACAUUGGGACUGAGAUACGGCCCAGACUCCUACGGGAGGCAGCAGUGGGGAAUAUUGCACAAUGGGCGGAAGCCUGAUGCAGCAACGCCGCGUGCGGGAUGACGGCCUUCGGGUUGUAAACCGCUUUCAGCAGGGGCGAAGCUUGUGGUGACGGUACCUGCAGAAGAAGCACCGGCUAACUACGUG